RNAcentral lists this ribosomal RNA (470 nucleotides) under uncultured bacterium. Its description in RNAcentral is "partial 16S ribosomal RNA". It matches the Rfam family "Bacterial small subunit ribosomal RNA", at positions 28 to 507 of the family's 1533-position model. The record is from RNAcentral.
GACGAACGCUGGCGGCGUGCUUAACACAUGCAAGUCGAACGCUGAAGCACCAGCUUGCUGGUGUGGAUGAGUGGCGAACGGGUGAGUAAUACGUGAGUAACCUGCCCUUGACUCUGGGAUAAGCCCGGGAAACUGGGUCUAAUACUGGAUGCUACAUGUCACCGCAUGGUGGUGUGUGGAAAGGGUUUACUGGUCUUGGAUGGGCUCACGGCCUAUCAGCUUGUUGGUGAGGUAAUGGCUCACCAAGGCGACGACGGGUAGUCGGCCUGAGAGGGUGACCGGCCACACUGGGACUGAGACACGGCCCAGACGCCUACGGGAGGCAGCAGGGGGGAAUAUUGCACAAUGGGCGAAAGCCUGAUGCAGCGACGCCGCGUGAGGGAGGACGGCCUUCGGGUUGUAAACCUCUUUCAGCAGGGAAGAAGCCACAAGUGACGGUACCUGCAGAAGAAGCGCCGGCUAACUACGUG